GAUGACUAACACAGGAAUGGUUGGAAAGAAAAAUCUUUUUAAUCUGGGAAGGAGAGGGAAGGACGAAGGCAAGAAGGAAAAGAUCCAUAGAGCUCAUGAGUGUGGUUAUCAGCCCAAAUCAGAGCUUUUCGAGAAUCGGAAUUAGAACUUGGAUGUGUAUAGUCCCACUAAUGAACCAGGGCUCGUUCUGGGAAGUUCUGGAGGAAAUAAGCCCUAGGCCUGCGGCCCAACCUGGCCUUUGGGGCCCCAGGGGAAGGCUGCCGUAUUAAGGGGGCCCAUGCCCUCAUCGCUGCAGGAGACAAGGGAGCGAGCACUUGGCUGCGCCACAGAAAUUACUGCUGUACCUCGAAUGCCCGCUUCAUUUAUCAAUUUCAUAGCAGAAAAACCCAUAUGACUGCCUUGUUCACUCGCACGCUAAAUCUAGUCACAGAAAGCUCCUCACCGCCAGUCAAGUGUGUUAUGCGCGGGCUUAGAGAAAGUAACUUGAAAUACCACUAAUGAUUUAUACUUAAUUGAACCUCUAAGUGAUUAAAGUGGCAGUAAUGAAUGAAUAACACCCUCCUCGUUCCCUCACCCACUCGGCCCAGCGACUCCGGGCAGAGCGGGCCUCGCCUUGGGAAGUCAGCUACAAAGGCCGGCGUGAACCAUUCUCUCAGCUUCCCCCAAGCCGCUCAUCUGGGUCCUGGCUAAAUUGCUCUCGCUUGCAGCAAAUGACUCCAUAAGCACCAUAUCAGACCAUUGAUCCUUUUUAUUAGAUUACCCAAUUGUAAGGUUAAUGCAUUUGCAUUUGCCAAACGGAGUGGGUCAGCCUGAAUCCCACACGGGGAUCCACGUUUAAACGGACACACAGCCGAGGAGAGUGGCUCUGUCAACGUAUUGAUUUGUUGGAACAGGAACCAGCUGGAUGCUGAUACCCUUGCCUCAGCCCACCCCCUACCUCCAAAAGAAAGUGCAGGAGAACACACUUCCCGGGCUGUGUCUUCCUUAGCACAAACCCCCUUGACAGCCAGGAGGCCAACGCCAGCGGCCACCCACAAUACUUCUGUUUCUGGAAGAAAGAAGGGCCCUGCAAAGGUUUCGGUCACCUCAGACACAGACAAAGAAGCAGAAACUGGGACUUGCAGAGGCCAAGUAACUGUCCAAUGUGACGCAGCUGGAAAGGGGAGAGCUGGAGCUCAAGCCCAAGCCGGUCAGACUCCAGGACCUGCGUUCUGUCACUCUGCCCCACUCCCAGGACUUGAAGUAUCUUUGGGCGGGGAACAAACCAGAGUUCUGCAGAGACUCUGGCUUCUCCUUCCCUUCCUCGUCUUCUAUUCCAUUAAGCCAACAGCCUCAGGAGCAGGCAAGGGAUAGGAAGGCGUUGGUCCAGAGCGAAAAGAGAGCUUCAGAUGCGAAGGGGAAAGAAAAUCACUGAGUGAGCAACAGUUGACCUUGAUUCCAGAUUAAUGGAGUAUAAAUUAACAACAAACGUGUGCAAUGUCCUGGAAGUCAGAUGCUUCUCCACACUCCCUCACUGUCCUCCGGCAAAAUGCUUCCUGUCCCUGAGCUGCUUUUCUACAAAUGUGAUGUGGGGGAACGGGGACUGCUGUCUGCAAGUCACCCUUGCCGUGGUGGGAACCCAUUCGGCCUGGCCUUUAUGCAAUGAAGGGCCUCCAGUUGAAGAUACAGACAGUGUCUCUGUUAAUAACACCAUUUUAUGGAAUUAAAUUUGGCGUCUGUUAAAAGUAUUCAUUAGUUGAAUGUAACAUUUACUGCCCCACAAUUUUGGUAAUACCAUUUUGGUCUUUUUUCCCCAAAUAUUUUAAUACACCUGCA
RNAcentral lists this long non-coding RNA (1815 nucleotides) under Equus caballus (horse). RNAcentral describes it as "lncRNA (ENSECAG00000059310.1)". Lineage: Eukaryota; Metazoa; Chordata; Mammalia; Perissodactyla; Equidae. The record is from RNAcentral.